CUUGGUCAUUUAGAGGAAGUAAAAGUCGUAACAAGGUUUCCGUAGGUGAACCUGCGGAAGGAUCAUUCAUAAUAAGUGUUUUAUGGCACUUUUUAAAUCCAUAUCCACCUUGUGUGCAAUGUCAGUCGAUCUUCUUCAUGGAGAUCGACCAAACAUCAACCUUUAUUUUUUAACUCUUUGUCUGAAAAAUAUUAUGAAUAAACAAUUCAAAAUACAACUUUCAACAACGGAUCUCUUGGCUCUCGCAUCGAUGAAGAACGCAGCGAAAUGCGAUACGUAAUGUGAAUUGCAGAAUUCAGUGAAUCAUCGAAUCUUUGAACGCAUAUUGCGCUCUUUGGUAUUCCGAAGAGCAUGCUUGUUUGAGUAUCAGUAAACACCUCAAAGCUUUUGGAUUUAUUAAUCGAAAAGCUUUGGACUUGAGCAAUCCCAACACCAAUCUUUUUGAGAUCGGUGGCGGGUUGCUUGAAAUGCAGGUGCAGCUGGACAUUCUCCUGAGCUAAAAGCAUAUUCAUUUAGUCCCGUCAAACGGAUUAUUACUUUUGCUGCAGCUAACAUAAAGGGAGUUUGACCGUAUUGGCUGACUGAUGCAGGAUUUCACAAGGGUCGGCAACGAUUCUUGUUAAACUCGAUCUCAAAUCAAGUAAGACUACCCGCUGAACUUAAGCAUAUCAAUAAGCGGAGGA
RNAcentral lists this ribosomal RNA (683 nucleotides) under uncultured Ascomycota. RNAcentral's name for it is "eukaryotic LSU rRNA". The stretch from base 216 to 369 matches the Rfam family "5.8S ribosomal RNA". Lineage: Eukaryota; Fungi; Ascomycota. The record is from RNAcentral.